GUCGUUGUAGUAUAGUGGUGAGUAUUUCCGCCUGUCACGCGGACGACCCGGGUUCAAUCCCCGGCAACGGCG
Selaginella moellendorffii is the source of this 72-nucleotide transfer RNA. It matches the Rfam family "tRNA". From Rfam's summary of the family: Transfer RNA (tRNA) molecules are approximately 80 nucleotides in length. Their secondary structure includes four short double-helical elements and three loops (D, anti-codon, and T loops). The record is from Rfam. Lineage: Eukaryota; Viridiplantae; Streptophyta; Lycopodiopsida; Selaginellales; Selaginellaceae.